AAACUCAAAGGAAUUGACGGGGGCGCCGCACAAAGUGGUGGGAGCAUGUGGUUUAAUUCGAUGAUACGCGAAGAACCUUACCUAGGCUAGAAUGCGCGUGACCGGCUCAGAGAUGAGCCUUUCCUUCGGGGACACAAAGCAAGGUGCUGCAUGGCCGUCGUCAGCUCGUGCCGUGAGGUGUUGGGGUUAAGUCCCCGCAACGAGCGCAACCCCUAUGUUUAGUUGCCAGCAUGUAAUGAUGGGGACUCUAGACAGGCUGCCUGCGCAAGCAGUGAGGAAGGCGGGGACGACGUCAGGUCAUCAUGGCCCUUACGCCUAGGGCGACACACGUGCUACAAUGGACGGUACAGCGGGUAGCUACUGGGCGACCAGAUGCCAAUCUCGAAAAGCCGUUCUCAGUUCGGAUUGGAGUCUGCAACUCGACUCCAUGAAGCUGGAAUCACUAGUAAUCGCGCAUCAGCCAUGGCGCGGUGAAUACGUUCCCGGGCCUUGUACACACCGCCCGUCAAGCCAUGAAAGUCUGGUAGACCUGAAGCUGGUGCUCCGCAACGAAGCCAGUUAGGGUAGAACAGGUAAUUAGGGCUAAGUCGUAACAAGGUAGCCGUACCGGAAGGUGCGGCUGGAUCACC
RNAcentral lists this ribosomal RNA (629 nucleotides) under uncultured bacterium. RNAcentral's name for it is "bacterial SSU rRNA". It matches the Rfam family "Bacterial small subunit ribosomal RNA", at positions 897 to 1527 of the family's 1533-position model. The record is from RNAcentral.